GACGAACGCUGGCGGCGUGCUUACCACAUGCAAGUCGAACGAUGAAGCCUUCGGGUGGAUUAGUGGCGAACGGGUGAGUAACACGUGGGUGAUCUGCCCUGCACUUUGGGAUAAGCCUGGGAAACUGGGUCUAAUACCGAAUAUGAUCAUGCUCUCCAUGGGGUGUGGUGGAAAGCUUUUGCGGUGUGGGAUGGGCCCGCGGCCUAUCAGCUUGUUGGUGGGGUAAUGGCCUACCAAGGCGACGACGGGUAGCCGGCCUGAGAGGGUGACCGGCCACACUGGGACUGAGAUACGGCCCAGACUCCUACGGGAGGCAGCAGUGGGGAAUAUUGCACAAUGGGCGCAAGCCUGAUGCAGCGACGCCGCGUGAGGGAUGACGGCCUUCGGGUUGUAAACCUCUUUCAGCAGGGACGAAGCGAAAGUGACGGUACCUGCAGAAGAAGGACCGGCCAACUACGUGCCAGCCGCCGCCGUAA
This 476-nucleotide ribosomal RNA is filed under the name uncultured bacterium. RNAcentral describes it as "partial 16S ribosomal RNA". It matches the Rfam family "Bacterial small subunit ribosomal RNA", at positions 28 to 523 of the family's 1533-position model. The record is from RNAcentral.